Molecule: ribosomal RNA, 329 nt
Filed under: uncultured eukaryote
Lineage: Eukaryota
Description: partial 18S ribosomal RNA
Rfam family: Eukaryotic small subunit ribosomal RNA
Source: RNAcentral
CCCUUAGAUGUCCUGGGCCGCACGCGCGCUACACUGAGUGUCUGAGAUACGAGUCUGCCUGGUCCGGCAAGGUCUAGGUAAUCGCUAAAAGACACAUCAUGCUUGGGAUAGAUUAUUGCAAAUAUUAAUCUUGAACGAGGAAUUCCUAGUAAGCGCAAGUCAACAGCUUGCGUUGAUUAUGUCCCUGCCCUUUGUACACACCGCCCGUCGCUACUACUGAUUGGAUGUUUAAGCGAGGUUCUCGAACUGCUAGCGACUUAGCUUCGGUGAGGUCGCAGUGUGGGAAGUGAACCUAGCUUUGGUGUCUAGAGGAAGUAAAAGUCGUAACA